Molecule: ribosomal RNA, 575 nt
Filed under: Priestia aryabhattai
Lineage: Bacteria; Bacillati; Bacillota; Bacilli; Caryophanales; Bacillaceae
Description: bacterial SSU rRNA
Rfam family: Bacterial small subunit ribosomal RNA
Source: RNAcentral
GAUGAACGCUGGCGGCGUGCCUAAUACAUGCAAGUCGAGCGAACUGAUUAGAAGCUUGCUUCUAUGACGUUAGCGGCGGACGGGUGAGUAACACGUGGGCAACCUGCCUGUAAGACUGGGAUAACUUCGGGAAACCGAAGCUAAUACCGGAUAGGAUCUUCUCCUUCAUGGGAGAUGAUUGAAAGAUGGUUUCGGCUAUCACUUACAGAUGGGCCCGCGGUGCAUUAGCUAGUUGGUGAGGUAACGGCUCACCAAGGCAACGAUGCAUAGCCGACCUGAGAGGGUGAUCGGCCACACUGGGACUGAGACACGGCCCAGACUCCUACGGGAGGCAGCAGUAGGGAAUCUUCCGCAAUGGACGAAAGUCUGACGGAGCAACGCCGCGUGAGUGAUGAAGGCUUUCGGGUCGUAAAACUCUGUUGUUAGGGAAGAACAAGUACGAGAGUAACUGCUCGUACCUUGACGGUACCUAACCAGAAAGCCACGGCUAACUACGUGCCAGCAGCCGCGGUAAUACGUAGGUGGCAAGCGUUAUCCGGAAUUAUUGGGCGUAAAGCGCGCGCAGGCGGUUUCUU